RNAcentral lists this transfer RNA (76 nucleotides) under Thermosipho sp. (in: thermotogales). RNAcentral describes it as "Thermosipho sp. (in: Bacteria) tRNA-Thr". It matches the Rfam family "tRNA". Rfam says of the family: Transfer RNA (tRNA) molecules are approximately 80 nucleotides in length. Their secondary structure includes four short double-helical elements and three loops (D, anti-codon, and T loops). Further hydrogen bonds mediate the characteristic L-shaped molecular structure. tRNAs have two regions of fundamental functional importance: the anti-codon, which is responsible for specific mRNA codon recognition, and the 3' end, to which the tRNAs corresponding amino acid is attached (by aminoacyl-tRNA synthetases). tRNAs cope with the degeneracy of the genetic code in two manners: having more than one tRNA (with a specific anti-codon) for a particular amino acid; and 'wobble' base-pairing, i.e. permitting non-standard base-pairing at the 3rd anti-codon position. Lineage: Bacteria; Thermotogati; Thermotogota; Thermotogae; Thermotogales; Fervidobacteriaceae. RNAcentral also lists the same sequence under 1 other name. The record is from RNAcentral.
GCCAACGUAGCUCAAACGGUAGAGCGGCGCAUUCGUAAUGCGUAGGUUGAGGGUUCGAGUCCCUCCGUUGGCUCCA